Molecule: ribosomal RNA, 292 nt
Filed under: uncultured bacterium
Lineage: Bacteria
Description: partial 16S ribosomal RNA
Rfam family: Bacterial small subunit ribosomal RNA
Source: RNAcentral
GUGCCAGCAGCCGCGGUAAUACGUAGGGUGCGAGCGUUGUCCGGAAUUACUGGGCGUAAAGAGCUCGUAGGUGGUUUGUCGCGUUGUUCGUGAAAACCUGAGGCUUAACCUUGGGCGUGCGGGCGAUACGGGCAGACUGGAGUACUGCAGGGGAGACUGGAAUUCCUGGUGUAGCGGUGGAAUGCGCAGAUAUCAGGAGGAACACCGGUGGCGAAGGCGGGUCUCUGGGCAGUAACUGACGCUGAGGAGCGAAAGCGUGGGGAGCGAACAGGAUUAGAUACCCCCGUAGUCC